This 433-nucleotide ribosomal RNA is filed under the name uncultured bacterium. RNAcentral describes it as "partial 16S ribosomal RNA". It matches the Rfam family "Bacterial small subunit ribosomal RNA", at positions 29 to 507 of the family's 1533-position model. The record is from RNAcentral.
AACGAACGCUGGCGGCAUGCCUAACACAUGCAAGUCGAACGAGACCUUCGGGUCUAGUGGCGCACGGGUGCGUAACGUGUGGGAACCUGCCCGUAGGUUCGGAAUAACUCCCCGAAAGGGGUGCUAAUACCGGAUAAUGUCUUCGGACCAAAGAUUUAUCGCCUUUGGAUGGGCCCGCGUUGGAUUAGCUAGUUGGUAGGGUAAAAGCCUACCAAGGCGACGAUCCAUAGCUGGUCUGAGAGGAUGAUCAGCCACACUGGGACUGAGACACGGCCCAGACUCCUACGGGAGGCAGCAGUGGGGAAUAUUAGACAAUGGGCGAAAGCCUGAUCCAGCAAUGCCGCGUGAGUGAUGAAGGCCUUAGGGUUGUAAAGCUCUUUUACCCGGGAUGAUAAUGACAGUACCGGGAGAAUAAGCUCCGGCUAACUCCGUG